UACGUAGGGGGCAAGCGUUGUCCGGAUUUAUUGGGCGUAAAGAGCGUGUAGGCGGCUGGGUAGGUCCGUUGUGAAAACUCGAGGCUCAACCUCGAGACGCCGAUGGAAACCCUCCAGCUAGAGUCCGGAAGAGGAGAGUGGAAUUCCUGGUGUAGCGGUGAAAUGCGCAGAUAUCAGGAAGAACACCCGUGGCUAAGGCGGCUCUCUAGUACGGUACUGACGCUGAGGCGCGAAAGCGUGGGGGGCAAACAGG
Molecule: ribosomal RNA, 253 nt
Filed under: uncultured bacterium
Lineage: Bacteria
Description: partial 16S ribosomal RNA
Rfam family: Bacterial small subunit ribosomal RNA
Source: RNAcentral